CUCAGAAGGGGUUGCAAAAGCUACCAAGGAUAACAUGGCUGCAUUCAUACCAUUUGGAAUGGGACCUAGAACUUGUGUAGGUCUCAACUUUGCCACCACUGAAACUAAGAUUGCUCUGUCAAUGAUUCUGCAACGCUACGCCUUCACUCUUUCCCCGGGAUAUGUCCACUUACCUCUUCAUUUUAUUACACUUCGCCCGCAGAAUGGAGUUCAAGUAACUCUACACUCCUUGUGAAACGUUGAAGACUAGCAGAGUGGCUCUCUGUGUCUAGGACUCAUGGAUUGGCUAAAGACAUGGUGUCCUAUAAUAAUGUAAGUUUGUUCAAGCCUUCAAGGUGUGCAUGGUAUCUAGGAAAUUAAUUAAGCAUGGGAUUGAUUCAUGAUGCGCUAGAUUCAUGGUUCUCUGGUAACGAACAAGGAUGAAUAAUGCUUGAAUGUAUAUCCAGCCUAGUACAAGCUACAGAAUUUACAGCAAGCUGUAAGUUUGGUGCAUAUAGAAGUUAGGAGGUCGAAAAAUAAUCAUGAAUUUAGUGAUUAUAAACAUGAAGUCAUGAAGAAAGCCUAAUAUUUGCCCACAAGGUCUCCUUUGUCGCCACCUAACAUUUACCAUAUAUCAGACAGAAAGGAAAGCUAAUUAAACAAAGAAAAGUAAGUUUUUAAUGGAAUUAGGAAGGAUACAUACAAAGACACCUUUGUUUACCCUCUACUUUGUGUAAGAACAUGUCACUCUAAACUAUCAUGUCCUUAACCUUGGUACGCCUUUGAAGAAUUGAAGACAUAUCAAUCUUGAUUACUGUAAUCCAUUUUUCUUGCUAAUAUAUACAUCUGUAAAUUAAGAAAAACAAAACAAAAAACCUUCAAGCCCACCUGGAUUGAUAAAAAUAAUCUCUAGUUCUCUACAUUCUAGAAGUAUAUAUAUAGCGAGUCAUUGAUCAAAUCAAAUGAAUUGUACAGUAGUAUAUAUAGCAGAUGCAGGUUGCGUACAAUAAAUAUAAUACAUAUUUUUACAACAUGCAUGCACAAAAUCAUAUCAAAUUAAUUAAUUUACAAGAUGCACGAAAUCAUAUCAAAUCAAUCAGAGAAUUCAGACUUGAUAUGGGGAAUGAGAUCUUGAUUUUGGGACGAGACAAUCUUGCUAAUUAACUGUGACAUUUUUGCACCAAGUUUGGCAACAGCGAGCUGGACAUAUAUAUAAGCCGUCGGUGAUCGCUUAUAAAUGUGAAUAAUAAAAAAAAACUACUCAUAUGUUCUAGAAGUGUAUAUAUACACUUCUGUUUCAUAGUUUCCUUUUCUAUUACUCAAACCUACUCAUCAUAAUGUGAUGAUUGUGAUCUGCAUAUACAGUACCCUCCUCUACAAAAAUGUGGAGCAAAGGCCACACACCUUUGCAUUUUUCAUUAAAUGUGGCAAAUGAGAGUAUCAGUACUGGUAUCGGUGGGGUAUGAGGAAGAAUGCUACACAUGGUGAUUUGCAACACCGACCACACAUCUUGAGUGGCAUCUGCUCCAUCUUGUUGCAGUAUCUACUCCUCCCUAUGUAUAUAUUGGCAUCUUCUUCGAUCUCUUUUCCAGUUUUCCUCGACUCCUCCUACUUACAGAAACCAUCAUUCCUAUGAAUAUCAAUCCUUCAAAUUGUUGAGCUUCAGCGCCUUGUUUUAGUGGUCUACAAAUUUCUUCAAAAUCCAAGACUGAGUGUGUUGGGGCUAAGAGCUAGAGCUAAACCAUUCUGAAAAUAUGAGUAUUACUGGACUCCCAGCAGUAUUCAUUGUUUCAAGUUUUGUGUUUCUGUUCCUUCUGAUCAUCAAGAUCUUUCACUCACAAUGGUGGACUCCAACUCGCCUACAGAAACGGAUGGGUCUCCAGGGAAUCAAAGGCCCUUCAUACAGACUUGUCCAUGGAAACGCUAAAGAAAUCUUGAACAUGAAGAAGGAAGCAAUGAGCAGAUCCAAAGGUUUAUCACAUGACAUAUUUCCUGCACUUCAACCUCAGUAUCACUCUUGGUUCAAGACAUAUGGUAAGAAAUUGUUAACUAGAAUGGUCUCGUCAAGUCAAAUAUGGCUUUCACAUCUUUAGUGCAUAACUGCGUAUCAAUCUCCAAUUAACUUGAAUGCUGUUUUUUUUUUUUUUACUUGUGACAGGGAAGAUUUUUCUUCAGUGGGUAGGUACUGAAGCUCAAUUGGUAGUUAUGGAACCUGAGUUAUGCAAAGAGAUACUGAUUAACAAAGAUAAAGUUUAUCUGCAAGUGAAAAUGCAUGGAUUUGGGAAGAAGCUACUUGGAAAUGGCAUCGGGAAUUCUGAAGGCGAACGGUGGGUAAAACUUCGAAAGCUGGCCAACCAUGCCUUACAUGGAGAGACUUUAAAAGUAAGCUUUAGUACAUAUGGCAUUCAUGAAAAUAGACCUGUAAAUGGACCGGAUUCGUGGUUUCUAAACGGGUUGGAUCGAAAAUUAGACUCAUUUAUCUGUUAAGGACCCGGAUCCGUUAACCUGUUUAUUAAACGGAUCGGAUACAAAUCGAGGUUGAUCCAAUCCAUUAAGGACCCGGCCGAUCCGUUUUAAAAUAAUUAAAUAAUAUUUUUAUAAAUAUAAUAUUAUUGAUAAAUAUUAAAUAAUAUAAUAAUUAUUUAAAUAACCUAAACGUCUAAAUUGCGUCUAAAGUAUGAUCAUUUGAUGAAAUUAAACGUUACUGAUGCGCAUGUUCUUUUUAUGCUCUUUGCUAAAUACAUUGGAGGUCUAGUAUUUUGAAUAUAUUAGUUUAUUGUUAAGGAGUAUUUUGACAUGUAAUUCAAUUUUUAAUGUAAGCCUUUAUUUUGUUAUAAUAUUUCAUUAGUGUUUUACGAAAAUUUAUGAUAAAAUUAAGAAAUUAUUAUUUUUAAUUUGAAAAUAUUUAUUAUUAUAAAUGGAUCGGAUUAACGGAUCGGGUAUCCGUUAACCCGCCGGAUCCGGAUUUGGAUCUAGCUAUCAAAGAUCUGGAGGGUAACAGGUCGGAUCUAGAUCCAAAAUUUCUAUUACGGAUCCGGAUCUGGAUUUAGAUCGAUCCGCUUCAAAUCCAGUCCAUUUAUAGGUCUACAUGGAACUCAACUUUCACUUACUUUGUCUUUGUUAUUAGUAGUUACCGCAUCAGAAGUUGUUGAAGUCGUAGCAUGAAUUGUCAAGUGACAAAAUGAACUUGGGUCUUUACCCAGAAGGACAAAAUUAGCUCCACCAAUUUUCCUGUUUCUAUUCCCUAUUACUACAACGUCCAUGGCCAUGUUCAUAAAAGGACUUGAAAGAAAUUUAAUUUCAGCGGUGGGACUUUAUCCUUUUUUUUUUUUUUUNNNNNNNNNNNNNNNNNNNNAGAAAUGAUAGCUAGUGCUGAGAAGAUGCUGCAGAGGUGGCAAAAUAGUGAGGGCAAAGAAAUCGAGCUGUAUCAAGAAUUUAGGUUGUUUACUGCAGAAGUGAUUUCCAGAACAGCAUUUGGCAGCACCUACUUAGAAGGGAAGAACAUUUUUGACAGGUUGACGAAGAUUUCGGUGUUAUUAUUCAAAAAUACUUAUAAGAUCAGGCUUCCUGUUAUACGGUAAGUUUCUUUUACUGCACAAUGUUCAUUGCAUUUGAAGAAAUGAUCCCAAAGACUUAAUUUCCAGUAGUUGCUGUUUGUAUCAUUAUUUGAUCAACAUAUGUAUGAUAUAUAUGUAACUACUAUUAUAUAUGUGAUAUUUUGUUUGACAUUGUUACCUUGCAUGUCCCAUUUACUAAGUACAUAGCAGAGAACAAUUCACUGCAACAUAUAUUGUAGGAGGAUUGUGUAUGUUCCCAUUUCUCAUGUUUAUUUCAUUCAUGUUUUCAUUCCGUAUUGCAGAGAGCUUUUCAAAACUAGUGAUGAAGUUGAAGCAGAGAAGCUUGAGAAGGAAAUACGCAAAACGAUACUAGAGAUUGUGAAGAAAAGGGAAAACAAGGCAGUGGCACAGCAGGAUGAACUCAACUUUGGGGGGGAUUUUCUUGGAUUACUUUUGAAGGAUCAUCAUGUUGACAGUAAUGACAGAUACAGGUUCACAAUAGAUGAUAUAAUUGAUCAGUGCAAGGCAUUGUACUUUGCUGGACAAGAAACCACUAAUGGUUCGCUGUCUUGGACCGUCUUUCUUCUGGCACUUCAUCAGGAUUGGCAAGAGGAAGCAAGAAAAGAAGUCCUACAAUUAUUCGGAAAACAGAAUCCAAAUAUCGACGGCAUUUCCAGACUAAAAACUGUAAGAAUGUCAUCAACAGUUAAUACUGCUGAUUGUGUAAGCGGUAGAAACUGUCAUCAGUUAAGUAUGAAAUUCUAAUUUGUGUUUAGUCUCAUUUUGUGUCUGUCUUUUUGAUGCAGAUGAAUAUGAUCAUCAAUGAGUCUCUAAGGUUGUAUCCUCCUGUUACUCAACUUAUAAAAAGAACUGAAAGGGAAGUUAGGCUGGGGAAGUUGAUUGUUCCUGCUGACAUUGAUUUGGUCAUUCCAAUUGUAGCACUUCACCAUGACACUCAAAUAUGGGGACAAGACGCCGGACUUUUCAAACCGGACCGAUUCUCAGAAGGGGUUGCAAAAGCUACUAAGAAUAACAUGGCUGCAUUCAUACCAUUUGGAAUAGGACCUAGAAUUUGUGCGGGAUUCAACUUUGCCACCACUGAAAUUAAGAUAGCUCUGUCAAUGAUUCUGCGACGCUACACCUUCACUCUUUCCCCGGGAUAUGUCCACUCACCUCUUCAUUUUCUUACACUUCGCCCGCAGAAUGGACUUCAAGUAAUUCUACACCCCUUGUGAAAUUGCUCUCUUGUAAUGAAUAAUGGUUCAAUAUUUAUAUAAAUAGGAAGCCUAGAAUAAGGUCUGUGAACCUCACCCGAG
This 4852-nucleotide long non-coding RNA is filed under the name Fragaria vesca (wild strawberry). RNAcentral's name for it is "long non-coding RNA (FVES_LNC001264)". Lineage: Eukaryota; Viridiplantae; Streptophyta; Magnoliopsida; Rosales; Rosaceae. The record is from RNAcentral.